CAGGCCACUCUAGUCCUAAUAGGAGUACCUAGCCUACUCUAGCAUGAGAAUACAUCAUAUCAAUAUCAAUAUCACAUAACAUGAGGGUAUUUUGGGAAAUCACCAUUCGGGCGCGGACUGAUCGUACACACAACUCUGAUCUGCAUUUUUUCCAAAAAUCUUUCACUCUUUUUGAAAAUACUUCUCAAAUCCUCAGUUUGAGUUCAAAUACGCCCGAAGGUGUACUCGAAUCCCUCAAACCAAGGCUCUGAUGCCAACUUGUAACACCGUAAAUUUCAAAACAAUUUUUCGCAUUUUAUAAAAACACAAAUCAUUUUUACAUUCAUAAAAAAAACAUUAAUGUUUGAAACUCAAUCCAUGCUAUAUAAAAUUCCCAAGAUCUGAUAACAUAAAAAUCUCGUGUGUGUGUGUGUACUGAUCAAGCCAGCGCCUUCCCACGGUCAUCACUAGUACCUGAAACAAAUAACACUAACACUGUAAGCACAAAGCUUAGUGAGUUCCCCAAAAUACCACACAUAACACAUAUUAGCCACUUGAGGCUAGAACUCUGUGGGUCCGUGGACCCUACUCUGUGAACCCUCUGGUUCUAACUCUGUGAACCUUCCGAUUCCAACUCUAUAAACAUGCACAACAUAAAUCACAUAGAAAUAAUGCAGUACAACACAUAACAUAUAUAGUAUACAAAUACUCUAUCACAUAACUCUGAUUACCUACUCAAGGUAAAGUAUAGUGAGAAGACUCACCUCGCGUAUCUUGAUAACUCGCAAAUCCUGGAAAUCACUCGCGCUCGAUUGCCCGAGCUAUAAUCCUCCUAUAACACAAUAUAUCUCUAAUUAACACUUUCACAACUAAGGUUGACUACCCCUAUCAAGUCAACACUGGUCAACUCUGGUCAACGGUCAACGGUCAACUCUAGCAAUCACUCUGAAAGGACCAAUAUAUUUGGGACCCAACAACGCACCCAAUCCUGAUGCAUACGUUAUCACAUGCCCUCUCUGCAUCAACACCACACCUAAUCCUGAUAUAGAUGCAUCACAGUAAACUACAAAGUCCUCCACUCCCUCAGGAAGGGUUAAUACCGGAGCUUCGCACAAUCUCUGGUGAAGAGUCUCAAAUAAGGCCUGCUGCUCAGGCCCCCAUGCAAAAGUAACACCCUUCUGGUUCAAUGUGGUGAGAGGAACAUCUAUCUUGGAGAAAUCUAUGAUAAAUCUCCGAUAGUAGCUGGCCAGACCCAGAAAACUCCUCAUCUCAGACGGGGAUCUCGGCACCUCCCAUCUCAUAACCGCCUCAAUCUUGGCCGGGUCGACCAUAUCCCAUUUUGAUUAAUGAGAUGCCCCAAGAACUAGACCUCUCGUAACCAGAAAUCACACUUGGAGAAUUUAGUAUAAAUCCUCUCCGCCCUCAAUACUCCAAGGAUCUCCCUAAGAUGCUCCUGGUGCUGCUCUCUGGACCUCGAGUACACCAGAAUGUCGUCAAUGAACACGAUCACCGAUCGAUCCAACAUGGGCCUGCGCACCCGGUUCAUGGGAUUUAUGAAUGCCACCGGUGCGUUGGUGAGCCUGAAAGGCAUCAACACAAACUCGUAAUGCCCAUAACGAACUCUGAAGGUUGUCUUCAGGAUAUCCUCCUCGCAAACUCUCAUAUGAUGAUAUCCAGACAUAAAAUCAAUCCUAAAAAAACAAGAUGCUCUCUGCAACUGAUCGAAUAAAUCGUUGAUCCUCGGUAGCGGAUAAUGGUUCUUGACCGUCAGCUUGUUCAACUCCCGGUAAUUAAUGCACAUCCGGUGUGAACCAUCCUUCUUCUUAACAAAAAGGAUAGGUGCUCCCCACGGCGAGCUACUCGGUCUGAUGAAACCCUUCCCCAGCAGCUCCUGGAGCUGUGAGGAUAACUCCUGCAUCUAUGGUGGCGCAGGGCGAUAAGGUGCCUUGUAAAUAGGCACCGCACCCGGAACCAAAUCAAUCCGGAACUCUACCUGCCUCACGGGAGGCACACCUGGCAACUCCUCGGGAAAAACAUUUGGGAACUCGUAAACUAUCGGAACCCCGGAGAUAGAACUCGACCUCUCUGUAGCAACCCGCAUAUCCAUCACGUACGCCAAGAAGCCCAUACAACCUUGUUGUAGACUCUGCCUCGCCCUGGCAGCAGAGUAGAAAGCUGAUCCAGAUCUGGUACCCUCACCAUACACUGUAAGCACUCCCCUAUUAGGGUAUCGUAUAAUCACCAACUAACGCUCGCAUUUGAUCACAACUCCAAAACGGCUCAACCAAUCAAUGUCUACGAUGACACAAACAUCACCCAUCGCUAUCGGCACCAGAUCUAUCGGGAACUCGACACCAAAAAUAUGUAACACACAUCCUCGGAAUACAUCAGUAGCGAAAACCGCAUGCUCGUCGGCUAUAAAAACCCUCAGAGGUCAACUUAAAGCCUCAUGUCGGAUAUUGAUGUGACGACUAAAAGAUAUAGACACAAAGGAUCGACUCGCACCCAAGUCAAACAACACCAGAGAAGGUACGUAACUCACAAGAAAAGUACCUAUAUAUAUAACACAGAAUAAGCACAACAAAUCUCAAAAUAGUAUAAAUAAGGGAAUACAUACCAGCCACGACAUCGGAUGCUGCACGAACCUCCUACACUGUCAGUUGAAAAGCUCUCCCACGAGCCCUCGGAACCUUGGCCUUCACCGGCCGACUAUCAGUAGCAUGCAAAGCAGCAUGUGCGGAACCCAGAGCUGAUCCCUGAAUGAUCUGAGGGCACUCGGCCUUCCGAUGGUUAGUCUGGUUGUAGUGAAAACAAACUGCAAAUACCUUGGGGAAAUCCUUCGCCAUGUGCCCCUCCUUGCCACAUUUAUAGCAAAUCCCAGCCUGACAUGAUCCCUCGUGACUCUUGCAGCAUUUACCACAAGUGCGGCCCUUCUGGCCCCCAGCUCUCGUAUCAGCAGGCUUAGCCUGCUUCGUCGCCGACUGCGACUGCAUUGGUCUCCGGUCCCUCCCCUAGGACUCUCCCUCCUCCCUGGCCUGCAACUUAAGCUCGCUCUCCCUCUGCCUGACAUUGGUCUGAAGCUCAGCCAAUGUCCAGUAUGACGAGUUCUCCACGAACUCCCAUAUAUCCCUCCUCAGUAUGCUCAGAUAUCGGCUCACACGUGCCUACUCGGUAGACACGUGCUCAGGGAAAAACAACGCCCUCUCAUGGAACAUCCUCGAAAUCUCAGUCACAGUUUUUGUUUUCUACUUAAGAGACAGAAACUCUUGGGCUAACUGUUCCCUCUCCACUUAGGGAAUAUACUCGUCUCGGAACAACUGUGUAAACCUAUCCCAUGUCACUGCAUCAUGAUCUGCAGGGGUAAAGUUGGUUGUCACAAACUUCCACCAGUCCUUCGCUCUUAAGUGAAACUGGUUCAACGUAAACCAAACUCUCAAAUGCUCUGGGCAUGAACACAUGUAAAAAUAUCCCUCGAUGUCGGAGAUCCAUCUCAUAACAACAAUCAGAUCCUAUGUCCCAUCAAACUCUGGUGGCUUCGUGUUGUUGAAUUCCCGGAACAACAACGAGUCACCUCCCUGUGGUCUAGCAGCGACAACAGCCACAAUAGCUACAGCAACAAUGGCCUCAGUAACAGCGGCAUACCAUUCAUCAAAUGUCUCGAUCAUGGUGGUAUUUUUAGACCCAAACAUCUCUGGUAUCACCUCUCGAAUGUAUGCAGCCACCACCUCAUGAAUGAUCCUGCAUAUCUCCUCGUCACCAGCACUACUGCUCUUAGGGUUGUGGCAUGUACCCACCAUGAUGUCUCUGAAACACAACACAAAAAUCAUUAGAGACUCGCUCGAGCAUACUCACACUCGAUUUCCCGCCCCCUAUAUGCUCCUUAGUACCCUAAAGAUUCUUGCUUGGGAUGCAUACAGAUCCGGUGCUUUCAGUAGUACGUGCUCAAUACUACCUUCCACACCAACCUGUAGUCACCCCAAGUCCUCCUCCUAGGAUUCCAAUUCACAAGUACUCAAUCUCCCAUGAAUAUUAGACUACUCUCUCAGUAGACUCCUCAUAUACUCAUCUAGAUAUCUCUCUUAGAUUAACCCUCGACUCAUAACUAUUUUUAAGUGAUUCCUGCUAAAUACUCUUACUCAGCACAUACUCAAGGCAACAACAGGUAGCAACAAUUCCUAGGCUAAGGCAUCACAAAUUAGGAAACUCUAGCCCUAAAUACAAAAUAACUAGUCUAUCCUCUAGCAUGCAUCCCUAACAUCUCAUAAAUAUCUCAUAACACAAAUAAGUAAGGGUUUUGGGGAAAUCACCAUUCGGGCUCUGGCUAAUUGUACACCCUGGUCCAACUCGUUUUUCUUUUAAAACUCUUACUCGUUUUUAGAGAAAACAUUUCUUUUGAAUUUUUUCCUCAAAUCCUCAAUUUGAUUCCAGACACACCCGAAGGCAUAUCCGAAUCUUUCAAACCAAGGCUCUGAUACCAACUUGUAACACCUUAAAUUUCCAAACAUUUUUUUCAUUUAAAAAUCACCUUAAUUCGUUAACACAACUAUAAAAAUCUCCAAAUAUCGAGUUAUCAAAAACACAUGUUCAUUAAUUGUUUAAAACAUAAUCCAAGAUCCUCCAAAACAUAUAUCCAACUCAUGUGUGUACAAUCAGGCCAAUGCCUUCCCGUGAUCCAUAGAAGUACCUGAAACACAUAACACAUAACACGGUAAGCACGAAGCUUAGUGAGUUCCCCAAAAUACCACACAUGUCUCAUUAGCCUCUCAUGGUUAUACUCAGAUAAGACCCUCCGAUCAAUGUGUCUCAGUGGGACCCUCCAGUCCCACAACUCGGGUGGACCCUUCGGUCCUAACUCAGCAAGCUCAGAAUAAUACACAACAUAAAUCACAUAAACAUAAUGCAUGAUGUCACAAUACUCAAUAUAAGCACACAAGACCCUCCGGUCACACAAAAUUACCACUCAAGGUAAGUAUAGUGAGAAGACUCACCUCGUAAGAAAUCAUAUAACCUCGAACUCAAAUCAUUGUUCUAGCCUCCGCCUAACACAUAUGAUAAUUAUCUCUAAUUAAUAACGGAUCUCAAAGAAGCUAGACUAAACCCUUCUACAAACUCACAGAAGGAUAAAAUACCAUUUUACCCUUCCAUGGCCUUAAUAGUCUACAAAUUGACCAAACCCUAAAAGUCAACGGCAGCGUGUACGCUGCGCGUACCAACCCUCUACGUUGGGCGUACUCCUUUGCCAUGCAUGCAUCGAGGAUUCUCGACCCUACGUUGCGCGUACUGAGAUUACGCUCAACGUACGCCCCAAUUUUGCUCUUCCUACUCAUUUGGUCAUAAUCUAUUAUGACCUUAACUCAAAUCUCUGAUCUGGAUUCCCUAAAGGCUCAUACUCCAUAAAAUACGUGCCGUUAAGCCUUUGCCUGGAUGAAAAAGUCACAAACACCAAAACUCUCACUCUCUAUUCUCAAGAAUGCUCAUAUAUCAUGCAUGGGUGGGUUUAAACGUCCAAGUCUCGAUUUUUAUGACUCUACACCACUAAAAACACACAAAGGAGCUGAUAAUAAACUCUAGAGCUCUAUAUCUCAUAAAGCAUCCAACUUUGGGACCAAAACCCUAAAAUGGACUAAAAUGAUGCACAUAUCAAAAGGGGUGAGAAAGCUUUGAGCUUUAUACCUCUAACUGAAGCUCCAACCACAGAUAAGCUCAGAUCCAAAGCCUGGACUCCCACUCCUUCCUCUUCAAAGCUCCUUCUUUACUCCAAAGAAACCAGAAGGACACUUAAUAGCUCACAAACGGACACACAAGCUCAAGGGAAACAAAAAUAGGGUUUGAGAGGGUUGAGGUUUGGAAAUUGUGGCUAGAAAUGAGGCCAUCUUGUUCCUUAAAUAGGGACACACCCUUAAUUAGGGUUUUCACUAUGGGCCUAGUACGCCCAGCGUACCAUAGGGUACGCUCAACGUACUAGGUGCCUUCCAUGUCAAAAACACGCACAUGAGUACGUUGAGCAUACACACGCGUACGCCCCGCGUACUCAUUUACCACCUUUUCUCAAAUAAAGGGCCAAACUUGACAAUUACCAAAAGAACAAGGGUUGAUGAGGUAUACCUGACCUAGGGAUGUUACAGGAGUGGGCCUCAGAUUUUGGGUUAUCAGGAUAAUUAUUGAUUAAGAUUGUAUUUCUUGUUAGUUGGCGUGAGGUUAUUCGGUUCAAUGUCUAGAGUAGUUAUUUGAUUAUCAACGGAUUGAGGUAAGUCUCCUCAUUGUACUCGUUGGUUGAAGGCAUCAAUGUCGACCCACUAGGUUCUGUUAUGCUAGUUGUCUUUGUAACUUUUGCAUGGUAUGUUUAGCUAGGCCUAUUUGUAUGUUGAGCUAGGCUCAUUUUAUGUUGAGCCAAGCCCAUUGGUAUGCUGAGCUAGAUCCAUUUGUACGUCGUGGCAACUUAAAUGAAGUUGCGGUCAAUCCAGGUCAUAUGCCACCACGUCAUGACCCUCCAAUUCUCAUUAUAAUAAAGCAAAACAACGCCUUGAAAACCCGGAUGUUACAAUGAGAAUUUAUAUCUAUAACUACAAUAACUUCAAGACUUGGUAGAGUAGUGGAUACAAGUCUAAUUGUCUCUUAAAAACCAUGGUUUAGGACUAAAAUUAGCAAAAGUGGAUAAAAGUCAAAUCGUCCAACAAAAACAAUGUGCAAGGACUAAAAUUGGCAACAUAUAAAAGGCCAACGGUGACAUCUCAAAGAGAAACAAAUGGUGGGUGAGUUGUCAAACAUGGAUAACCAUUUACACUUGUUGAAACUAAAGUUUAGUUCAAUGAUUUCUAAAUGAUAACAUGGGUGUAUUUGGGAUUGAUUUUUAAACUAAAUUUUUUUUUUUUUAGAAAAUAACUUUUUGAUUUAUGUCUUCUUCCAAAAAAAAUAUAUAAAUAAAAUAUGUUUAUAUGAACUUUUGAGGAUGCAAAGUAAAAAAACCAAAAGUUAAUAAGAGUUACAAAUAGUAACUUCUUAAACUUCUUCUUUUUAUUCUCAAAAAGUUAAUCUAAAAUAAUUUUUGAAAUUACUAAACAAAAUUUUAAACUUUUGACUUUUAGAAAAACCAAAAGUCCAAAAAAUUAUUAAAAAGAAAUACCAAACACCAUCCGUGUAUAAUAUGAAUUAGGAACAAUAAUAUUAGCUAACUGGUACAAUAUCAUUAGGAACAAUACUAUUAGCUAAAGUAACCAUGUGAGAGAGGUUGUAAGUUAUUUUAUUGUACAUAUAUUUAUAAUUUAUAAUAUGAUUGGGCUUGGGCUUGGGCUCAAAUACGUGCAAUAUAAUUUUCACUGGCCCGACACUAUAAGCUAUAUAAUCAGCUGCACGCAGGACUCACAAUCGCAACAUUUGAAACCCUAAUCUUUCUAUCGGUCAAUCUCAAGCCGUCACCUUUUAAAGCCAAUCUAGUCUCAAUUCAUUCCCCGCUUGAUCUCUCUUUCUGUUUCUAUUGUUUGAUUUGUUUUCUUGAUUUAGAUAAAGUCACAGGUCUAUGUUGUCAGCAUGAUAAAGUCCCGUUUUUUUUCUUCGUUUAGACCAUCAUAUAUUUGAUUGGGUCAGAUUUAUACAGAGUAACAAAAGUUGUUCGUGAGCUAUUGAUGGGGGUUGUGGAUGAUGAGAUCAUAUUUUUACACAGUUAUCCCUGUCUGAUAAAUUCGUGAUUGAUUCUUGUGAUCUGACACAGAACCCCAUUUGGAUUUUCACAUCAUUUUUCUUGAUGAAUCUUUUAUAAUCUGUUCGUUAUCCGUUUAUAACGAUGGCUGAUUGAUUGAUAUACGUUUCGGUUUGCCACUGUAUAGAAGCUCGGCGCAUAUAUUAAGUAUAUAUCACCAAAUGAAUAUACAUCUGAUUCUUUUGUUAAUAUCAAGUAUACAUAUGCUUGAAUUGAACUAUAGAAUCGAUGUAUAUUCAUUUGAUGCACUAUACUUGAUCUAUACCAAAGACUUUGCUCUUCUUCUAAUGAUGUAUAAGGUAUGGUCUAAGUUUUCAUGUCGACGAAUUACAAAACUUUGGGGCGAAAUAUUUGAUUUUCGUAAAAUCCAAUGUUAAAUCGUCGUAAAUUGAGCUUUUUCUGCAUCAAAACAGUUGAGCCUUCCUUCACAGGGAGGAUCCUGUUGGUCGGAGAAGGCGUUGUCACAUCCUAUCGCCUUGGGGAGCAGGUUCUGCCAUUACCUCUUGGGAUUGGCCGUGAGAAAAACA
RNAcentral lists this long non-coding RNA (8202 nucleotides) under Lactuca sativa (garden lettuce). RNAcentral's name for it is "long non-coding RNA (LSAT_LNC005005)". The stretch from base 7607 to 7689 matches the Rfam family "Small nucleolar RNA R38". The record is from RNAcentral. Lineage: Eukaryota; Viridiplantae; Streptophyta; Magnoliopsida; Asterales; Asteraceae.